RNAcentral lists this ribosomal RNA (65 nucleotides) under uncultured bacterium. RNAcentral's name for it is "partial 16S ribosomal RNA". The record is from RNAcentral.
AGAAGUAGUAGACUAAACCGCAAAGGGUCGGCCUAACGUACGUAGNGUUACGUAUGACUGGGGUG